This 232-nucleotide ribosomal RNA is filed under the name uncultured bacterium. RNAcentral's name for it is "partial 16S ribosomal RNA". It matches the Rfam family "Bacterial small subunit ribosomal RNA", at positions 104 to 334 of the family's 1533-position model. The record is from RNAcentral.
CGGGGUGAGUAACGCGUGGGUAACCUGCCUCACACUGGGGGACAACAGCUGGAAACGGCUGCUAAUACCGCAUAAGCGCACAGCUUCGCAUGAAGCAGUGUGAAAAACUCCGGUGGUGUGAGAUGGACCCGCGUCUGAUUAGCUAGUUGGUAAGGUAACGGCUUACCAAGGCGACGAUCAGUAGCCGACCUGAGAGGGUGACCGGCCACAUUGGGACUGAGACACGGCCCAA